Molecule: long non-coding RNA, 753 nt
Filed under: Parus major (Great Tit)
Lineage: Eukaryota; Metazoa; Chordata; Aves; Passeriformes; Paridae
Description: lncRNA (ENSPMJG00000011902.1)
Source: RNAcentral
AUGCUCCUCUGGAAUUCUGCAGCCAGGACUGAAACUCCAUCCACCAUGGGGUGGUGUAGUGAGACCUCGCUGGGAGGGAGCCCCUCGGCAGGAACACCAUCAGGAAACCUUUGGAAUCCCUAUUUUCCCAAGAUUUCCUCCUUGAAAUCCCUCCUGCAAUGCCUCGUUUGUCUCCUGCACGCCCAGGAAAGGGAGAAGCCGGGUGGAGCCUGGAGAAAUCGGGGCUGGAUCUGGCUGCGGGUCAGGGUGGGGAAUGUGCAGGGAGUUGUGGAAGAGGGGAGGCCAGAGGAAGAGAAAGGAACCAUCCGACCACGUGGUGGCAACGUGGAGAUGCUACAGAAGGAUUGCUGUGCUUCCCUGAAGGAAUUUUCACUUCACAGGAGACACCUGAAGUUAAUUCGUGGCUUUAAAGAGGACGUUAAAAGCAGGAAAUGUAAAUAUUUUCGGCUGUGUCACCUGAGCCUGUGGAUGCCCUCAGUGGCGUGGAGCAAACAAAUGGAAAAAGCAGGAUUGAUGGAUUGGCCCAUUCUGGAGGUGCUGCCGUCCCCAAGUGUCACAGGUGAGCUCUGUGCCUGUAUCCAGCAUCCACAGAGCUGCAUCCCCGUGGUCCUUGGAUGCAGGAGGAGGUGGGAGAAGCCCACAGGCUCUGAGAGCACCAGAUGAGGCAGAACCAUCCUGGGGUCAGGUGAGGGGACCUUUGGUUCAUCCUGGGAUGGGGAGCCCUGAGAGCCCAGCCAGGAGGAUGUGUUUGUG